Long non-coding RNA from Cornus florida, 468 nucleotides. RefSeq lists it as uncharacterized. NCBI's taxonomy places the organism in Eukaryota, Viridiplantae, Streptophyta, Magnoliopsida, Cornales, Cornaceae. The transcript is spliced from 2 exons. The record is from RefSeq and is a predicted model, not a curated record.
AAAAUUGAAUUUUGUUAGUAUAAAUUUCUCGUGGAAAACAUUUUACCUUGAAUGAGUCAUGACAGGAUGGGUUCGAUCAUUACAUUGAAGAAAAAGGCGGCCUCCAUGUUCGUCAAGCCAAACCCCGACCCAGCUGAAGCACCCAGUGAUAUUGAGGUUCGACACGGCAUGUCCGUACACUCAUUUUUGUGUCUGAAGAGGAUUGAACCUCUCAAGCUUGGUGAGGUAACGGACGGUUCCAGGUCUUAGAGCUUGUUCGUGCUGAGCAGAGACGACUACUUAUUCUACCGACGAUGUAGGAGGUUCUUCAUGGUUUAGCAGUGGACUUCUUUUUAGUUGUUCGCUUUCCAGUAUUGGCUUUUGAUUAGGGGUCCACCAGAUGGAUUCCCGAGUUGUAUUAUAAUUGGAGAAGUUGGAUGUAACAAACUAAUUCUUAUUUAUAAGAUUUAUUCUGAAGUUUUCAAUAAA